This 484-nucleotide ribosomal RNA is filed under the name uncultured bacterium. RNAcentral describes it as "partial 16S ribosomal RNA". It matches the Rfam family "Bacterial small subunit ribosomal RNA", at positions 30 to 507 of the family's 1533-position model. The record is from RNAcentral.
AUUGAACGCUGGCGGCAGGCCUAACACAUGCAAGUCGAGCGGAUGAAGGGAGCUUGCUUCUGGAUUCAGCGGCGGACGGGUGAGUGAUUCAUAGGAAUCUGCCUGGUAGUGGGGGAUAGCGUCAGGUAAGGGGCGCUAAUACCGUAUACCACCUGAGGGAGAAAGAGGGGGAUCUUGGUACCUAGCUCUAUCAGCUGCACCUAGGUCGGAUUAGCUAGUUGGUGGGGUAAAGGCCUACCAAGGCGACGAUCCGUAACUGGUCUGAGAGGAUGAUCAGUCACACUGGAACGGAGACACGGUCCAGACUCCUACGGGAGGCAGCAGUGGGGAAUAUUGGACAAUGGGCGAAAGCCUGAUCCAGCCAUGCCGCGUGUGUGAAGAAGGUCCUCGGAUUGUAAAGCACUUUAAGUUGGGAGGAAGGGCAGUAAGUUAAUACCUUGCUGUUUUGACGUUACCAACAGAAUAAGCACCGGCUAACUUCGUG